Molecule: regulatory RNA element, 117 nt
Organism: Streptococcus sp. DD13
Lineage: Bacteria; Bacillati; Bacillota; Bacilli; Lactobacillales; Streptococcaceae
Rfam family: PyrR binding site
About the family: This family represents the PyrR binding site and terminator structure. This RNA structure is found upstream of a variety of genes involved in pyrimidine biosynthesis and transport.
Source: Rfam
AAAUCCUUUAAGUAUCUGUCCAGAGAGGCGGACAAGGAGUUUCACAGCCAAGACUAGGUUUUUUCCCAUGCCUUCGUUUUACUGAAGUCUCCUUGUAUAAAGGAGACUUUUUUUCUA